Molecule: ribosomal RNA, 408 nt
Filed under: uncultured Diversispora
Lineage: Eukaryota; Fungi; Glomeromycota; Glomeromycetes; Diversisporales; Diversisporaceae
Description: partial 28S ribosomal RNA
Source: RNAcentral
GAGAGUUAAAUAGUACGUGAAAUUGUUGAAAGGGAAACGAUUGAAGUCAGUCAUGCUAGCGAAAAAUCAGUUUGACGGGUUUUGAGUUCGGGAGUAGAGGCAGGGUCAAACCGUUUCUCUUUUGGACUUGGGAUUUGUCGGAUGUACUUUUUCUUUGGCAGGUCAGCGUCGGUUUCGGAGGUUGUAAAAUACUUGGGGGAAAGUAGCUCUGCUUCGGGAGAGUAUUAUAGACCCUGGGGGAUGCAGCCUGUGGGAUCGAGGAUUGCAGCAAAUGCCUUUGGCUUGUCGCCUGAUCUCUGGAUGUUACCUUGCUUGUGACAACAUUCUUGCCACCGGUGAGUACUGAUGCCCAUUAGGUUAGAACGAUCAAAAAUUUGCUAAGGAUGCUGACGUAAUGGCUUUAAACGA